UGACUGGAUAAUGUUUGAGGACCACCGAAACAUAUGAGUCGGUCAGAUGUUGUUGAUGGCUCCACCCCUGCUACCUGUACAUCUCUCUAGCCAUCUUCCAAACAGAUCUGACCCGGUAGCCGCAUAUCAGCUGGCCGCUGCUGAAGCAAGAAGAGGACAAACAAACCUAUGGAAAGCGUUAUCACAAAUCUUUUCUGAAAGGGAAUGAAUUAGAAAAUCGCGGUUAUAAAGAGAGAAAGUAGUCUUCAACAGCUAGCGAGAGCGCUAAAUGUACCAGAAGGAACGGACACGGAAAGCGGCGAUUGGUUCUCAACAAGGUGGAGUUUUGUGAGCGAGGGCGCAUCGAUUGCGCUUUACGUUAUUCUGUUACCAGAUGCAGGAACCUGAACGACAGGUUGCGCGAAGAUAAUAGCUGCCUUUUCUGGAAAUAUUGAACCGUUACACCAGAAGAAACAAGCAAAGAACAACAGUAAUUGGAUUUCCUAUAUGGAAUUAAAUGAAAGAGUUUUAAAGAAAUAUCAGAUUUUUUACAUACAUUUCGCAUUUAGAUAUGUCUUCUUUUACUAUGUGUGAAUGACUGCUGUAUAUGGAACUAUCACAUCCUGUCAUUCGAAGUGAAGUUUGUGCGUAACAGGUCGCUGAGAACACAACAUUUACAUAGAAGAAGAAGGACUGAUGAAAACGGACCGGGCAGAGUAGAGGAAGAAGAAGGUAGUUAGUUUAAGCAAUAUGGCUGAAUUGUGGGGUAGGGGACACUGGCUGGAACUACUCAAAGAGUCUGGAUGCUAGUUAUAGAACAUGGCAACAUAUCACUGGGCAUCGGUAGCCUCAGAAUAAUGCCUAAAGGUAAACAUAGUUACUAUCCGGACUCUCCCUCUAUCCGCAUAUCCAAGAUGGAUGUGAUCAUCCCGUUUUCCCCAGAUGUGCCCUGUGAUAGCAACGGGCAGCGCAUGUGGUGGGCUUUCCUUGCCUCCUCCAUGGUUACGUUCUUUGGGGGUCUCUUCAUCAUUCUUCUCUGGAGAACUCUCAACUACCUGUGGACCGUCUGCUGCCACUGUAAUACCAAAAAAAAGAAGGUUCAGCGGGUCCAUCACCCUAUCUCCCAUGGGGAUGGCAUCAAGCACACCAAGGAGACGGUGGCUGCGCUCAGCGAGGUGGGCUGGAUGACCUCCGUCAAAGAUUGGGCCGGGGUCAUGAUAUCAGCCCAGACACUGACGGGCAGAGUCCUGGUGGUGCUUGUCUUUGCCCUCAGCAUCGGAGCCCUUGUAAUAUACUUCAUAGAUUCCUCUGACCCCAUCGAGUCCUGUCAGAACUUCUACAAAGACUUCACGCUACAGAUCGACAUGGCUUUCAACGUCUUCUUCCUCUUGUACUUUGGUCUGCGGUUCAUAGCGGCCAAUGACAAGCUGUGGUUCUGGCUGGAGGUGAACUCAGUGGUGGACUUCUUCACUGUUCCCCCGGUGUUCGUGUCUGUCUAUCUCAACAGGAGCUGGCUUGGCUUACGGUUUUUAAGGGCCUUAAGAUUGAUACAGUUCUCAGAAAUCUUACAGUUUUUGAAUAUAUUAAAAACAAGCAAUUCCAUAAAACUGGUGAACUUGUGUUCAAUCUUCAUAAGCACAUGGCUAACAGCUGCAGGCUUCAUACAUUUGGUGGAAAACUCAGGGGAUCCUUGGGAAAACUUCCAAAAUUCCCAGUCACUUUCCUACUGGGAAUGUGUCUACUUACUGAUGGUUACCAUGUCCACUGUGGGCUAUGGAGACGUGUACGCCAAAACUACCCUGGGACGACUUUUCAUGGUGUUCUUCAUCCUCGGUGGUUUGGCCAUGUUUGCGAGCUACGUCCCUGAAAUCAUAGAGUUAAUAGGAAACCGCAAGAAAUAUGGUGGUUCCUAUAGUGCUGUUAAUGGGAGAAAGCACAUCGUGGUCUGUGGUCAUAUUACCCUUGAAAGUGUGUCCAACUUCCUAAAAGACUUCCUACACAAGGACAGGGAUGAUGUCAAUGUAGAAAUUGUUUUUCUCCAUAAUAUUUCCCCUAAUCUUGAGCUGGAAGCCUUGUUUAAACGGCACUUCACCCAGGUGGAGUUCUACCAGGGAUCUGUUCUCAACCCACACGACCUGGCCAGAGUCAAGAUAGAGUCAGCAGAUGCCUGUUUGAUCCUAGCUAAUAAAUACUGUGCAGACCCUGAUGCUGAGGAUGCUUCCAACAUCAUGAGGGUGAUAUCCAUCAAGAACUACCACCCGAAGAUCAGAAUCAUUACCCAGAUGUUGCAGUACCACAACAAGGCCCACCUGUUAAACAUUCCCAGUUGGAACUGGAAGGAGGGUGACGAUGCCAUUUGCCUUGCUGAGCUGAAGCUGGGCUUCAUCGCACAGAGCUGUCUGGCUCAGGGCCUCUCCACCAUGCUGGCCAACCUCUUCUCCAUGAGGUCCUUUAUCAAGAUUGAAGAGGACACGUGGCAGAAGUAUUACCUGGAAGGAGUAGCCAAUGAAAUGUAUACUGAGUACCUGUCUAGUGCCUUUGUGGGCUUAUCCUUCCCCACCAUUUGUGAACUCUGCUAUGUGAAGCUAAAGCUGCUACUGAUCGCUAUCGAGUACAAGUCUGAUAUACGGGAAAGCAGCACUCUCAUCAACCCUGGGAACCAUGUGAAGAUGCAGGAAGGAACCUUGGGGUUCUUUAUCGCCAGCGAUGCCAAAGAAGUUAAGAGGGCACUUUUCUACUGCAAAGCUUGCCACGAUGACAUCACAGAUCCCAAAAGGAUAAAGAAAUGUGGAUGCAAGCGAUCAAAAAAUAACUUUAACGGAUAUAUCAAAUCAAUGGAAGAGGAGCAGCAGUCAGCUGUUUCGCCUAAAAAGAAACAAGGCAAUGGAAACACGAGGAACUCACCCAACAGUUCACCAAAAAUGAUGAGGCAUGACCCUCUCCUCAUGCCGGGGAACGAACAGAUUGAGAACAUGGACGUGAACGUGAAAAAGUACGACUCCACAGGGAUGUUCCACUGGUGCCAGUCCAAAGACAUCGAGAAGGUCAUCUUGACCCGGAGCGAAGCUGCCAUGACUGUUCUAAGCGGCCACGUGGUUGUCUGUAUAUUUGGAGACGCAAAGUCUGCUUUGGUGGGCCUUAGGAACCUUGUGAUGCCUCUGAGAGCUAGCAACUUCCACUACCACGAGCUGAAACCCAUCGUGUUUGUGGGUUCUCUGGAGUACCUGAAGAGGGAAUGGGAGACCCUUCACAACUUCCCCAAAGUCUCCAUCUUACCUGGCACACCAUUAAGCCGGGCCGAUCUGAGGGCCGUCAAUAUCAACCUCUGUGACAUGUGUGUCAUCCUGUCGGCCAAUCAGAGCAAUAUCGACGACGCUUCACUGCAGGAUAAGGAAUGCAUCCUGGCGUCACUCAACAUCAAGUCUAUGCAGUUUGACGACAGCAUCGGGGUGUUGCAGGCUACCUCCCAAGGUUUCACCCUGCCAGGCAUGGACAGGUCCUCUCCUGAAAACAGUCCAGUUCAUGGAGGGUUGGUACGACAGGCUUCCAUCACAACAGGAGCCAAUGUCCCCAUCAUCACUGAACUAGCACCGUUAGUAAAACCAGCAGGCAAAGUCCUACCUGUGAUUUCAUUCAGUCAGGAUACAAGCAGUGGGAUCAACAUACACAUAAUAACAGAACUGGUGAACGACUCCAAUGUUCAGUUCCUGGACCAGGAUGAUGACGACGAUCCUGACACAGAGUUGUACCUCACUCAGCCCUUCGCCUGUGGGACGGCUUUCGCAGUCAGCGUGCUGGAUUCCCUGAUGAGUGCUACAUACUUCAACGAUAAUAUCCUCACCCUGAUCCGGACGCUGGUAACAGGGGGGGCCACUCCGGAGCUGGAGGGUCUGUUGGCGGAGGAGAACGCAUUACGAGGAGGUUACAGCACGCCGCAGACCCUCGCUAACCGGGACAGGUGUCGUGUUGCACAGCUAGCCUUGUACGACGGGCCUUUCGCUGACUUGGGGGAUGGCGGUUGCUACGGUGACUUGUUUUGUAAAGCGUUAAAAACAUACAACAUGCUUUGCUUUGGAAUUUACCGAUUGAGGGACGCCCAUCUAAACACACAAAGUCAUACAAGUCAAUGCACUAAACGAUAUGUAAUAACCAACCCACCGUAUGGUUUUGAGCUGGUGCCAUCAGACCUGAUCUUCUGCCUGAUGCAGUUUGACCACAACGCGGGUCAGUCCCAGGCCAGCCUCACCCAUAGCUCCCACUCCUCCCAUUCCUCCAGCAAAAAGAGCUCCUCCGUCCAUUCCAUCCCCGCCACCAACCGCACCAACCGCGCCAAGACCAGGGACUCACGGGAUAAACAAAAGAUAUCAUGAACCGUUACUGAGGUUGCUGAGUGAAUACUACUGUGGUUAGUAUUGUAGGAUGAAUAGAAUGGGCCAAGAAAAGACAUGCUUUACAGAUGAGCCUGAGAACGCAGCCUACCCCAGGAAGUCACACUGUAGUCACACAGCCAACCCCCAGGUCAACCACCAGGCCAACCACCAGGUCAACCACCAGGUCAACCAGGACCCUUACAAAUCCACCAACAACCUCAUCCCAUCCAUCAGAGAGGUGGAGGAUGAAUACUGAACUACAGAACCCUAUGUUGACACCUACAGUAGAACCCACCUGGAACUAGAACCCAAGAACAGCUAGAACCCACCUGCAGAACACCUGGAACUGGAACCCCAAAACAGCUAGAACCCACCUACAGAACACCUGGAACUAAAACCCAAGAACAGCUAGAACCCACCUAUAGAACACCUGGAACUAAAACCCAAGAACAGCUAGAACCCACCUAUAGAACACCUGGAACUAAAAUCCAAGAACAGCUAGAACCCACCUACAGAACACCUGGAACUAAAACCCAAGAACAGCUAGAACCCACCUACAGAACACCUGGAACUAAAAUCCAAGAACAGAUAGAACCCACCUACAGAACACCUGGAACUAAAACCCAAGAACAGCUAGAACCCACCUAUAGAACACCUGGAACUAAAAUCCAAGAACAGCUAGAACCCACCUACAGAACACCUGGAACUAAAAUCCAAGAACAGCUAGAACCCACCUACAGAACACCUGGAACUAAAACCCAAGAACAGCUAGAACCCACCUACAGAACACCUGGAACUAAAACCCAAGAACAGCUAGAACCCACCUACAGAACACCUGGAACUAAAACCCAAGAACAGCUAGAACCCACCUACAGAACGCAUGAAACUAGAACCCAAGAACAGAUGGAACCCACCUAGAGAACGCAUGAAACUAGAACCCUGAUCCAGUGGAACUGGAUUCUGAAGAACACUUUAAAGCUAGAAUCCUUAGUUGCUACAUCAAUUUAUGGACUUAUAAAUGAAAGAUCACAACAUCAAUGCUGCAUAAUAAACCUCAUGGAAAAGUGCAUAUGUACAGUAGCUACAGUAACAUCAUAUCAGCAGGCUUUUUGACAUGUUUUUAUACAUAUGAAUAUAUAACUGAAGUAAUAGACAUAUACAUACAAUCAGAUGUCAAUCAAAUGUACAGUCAGUCAGUCACUAAUGCUAACACUCAGCCAUGUAGUUUGCACAGCCAGUUGCUUAGUGACCAGACUGAGGGUCGCUUCAGUCAGAGUAGCAAAGCAACGCAAUGCAAGAUAACAUACGAUGAAGCAUUAUAAUAGAGUGUUAUCAAACUGGACUGAUUAUUUGCCAAUAAAAACCAUAUACAUUGUU
Molecule: RNA transcript, 5726 nt
Organism: Salvelinus fontinalis (brook trout)
Lineage: Eukaryota; Metazoa; Chordata; Actinopteri; Salmoniformes; Salmonidae
Gene name: calcium-activated potassium channel subunit alpha-1-like
Exons: 32
Source: RefSeq, a predicted model, not a curated record